This 95-nucleotide transfer RNA is filed under the name Candidatus Bathyarchaeota archaeon. RNAcentral describes it as "tRNA-Trp". It matches the Rfam family "tRNA". From Rfam's summary of the family: Transfer RNA (tRNA) molecules are approximately 80 nucleotides in length. Their secondary structure includes four short double-helical elements and three loops (D, anti-codon, and T loops). The record is from RNAcentral. Lineage: Archaea; Thermoproteati; Candidatus Bathyarchaeota. RNAcentral also lists the same sequence under 1 other name.
GGGGCCGUAGUCUAGCCAGGUAUGACGACAGAAUAAUGAUCCGUUAGGGGCUCCAGACCCGUAGGUCGAGGGUUCAAAUCCCUUCGGCCCCACCA